AACCCGGUUUCUUUAGAAACCAUCCAUAAAAUUUCUAGAUCUACA
RNAcentral lists this non-coding RNA (45 nucleotides) under Helianthus annuus (common sunflower). Its description in RNAcentral is "Histone 3' UTR stem-loop". It matches the Rfam family "Histone 3' UTR stem-loop". From Rfam's summary of the family: The mRNAs of metazoan histone genes lack a poly-A tail. 3' end processing occurs at a site between a highly conserved stem-loop (modelled by this family) and a purine rich region around 20 nts downstream (the histone downstream element, or HDE). The record is from RNAcentral. Lineage: Eukaryota; Viridiplantae; Streptophyta; Magnoliopsida; Asterales; Asteraceae.